AUACGUAGGUGGCAAGCGUUGUCCGGAAUUAUUGGGCGUAAAGCGCGCGCAGGUGGUUCCUUAAGUCUGAUGUGAAAGCCCCCGGCUCAACCGGGGAGGGUCAUUGGAAACUGGGGAACUUGAGUGCAGAAGAGGAUAGUGGAAUUCCAAGUGUAGCGGUGAAAUGCGUAGAGAUUUGGAGGAACACCAGUGGCGAAGGCGACUGUCUGGUCUGUAACUGACACUGAGGCGCGAAAGCGUGGGGAGCAAACAGGAUUAGAUACCCUGGUAGUCCCCGCCGUAAACGAUGAGUGCUAAGUGUUGGGGGGUUUCCGCCCCUCAGUGCUGCAGCUAACGCAUUAAGCACUCCGCCUGGGGAGUACGGUCGCAAGACUGAAACUCAAAUGAAUUGACGGGG
This 397-nucleotide ribosomal RNA is filed under the name uncultured bacterium. Its description in RNAcentral is "partial 16S ribosomal RNA". It matches the Rfam family "Bacterial small subunit ribosomal RNA", at positions 523 to 918 of the family's 1533-position model. The record is from RNAcentral.